This 468-nucleotide ribosomal RNA is filed under the name uncultured bacterium. RNAcentral's name for it is "partial 16S ribosomal RNA". It matches the Rfam family "Bacterial small subunit ribosomal RNA", at positions 28 to 507 of the family's 1533-position model. The record is from RNAcentral.
GAUGAACGCUGGCGGCGUGCUUAACACAUGCAAGUCGAACGGUGAAGGCGGAGCUUGCUCUGCUGGAUCAGUGGCGAACGGGUGAGUAACACGUGAGCAAUCUGCCCCUGACUCUGGGAUAAGCGCUGGAAACGGCGUCUAAAACUGGAUACGAGCUGCGAAGGCAUCUUCAGCAGCUGGAAAGAAUUUCGGUCAGGGAUGAGCUCGCGGCCUAUCAGCUUGUUGGUGAGGUAAUGGCUCACCAAGGCGUCGACGGGUAGCCGGCCUGAGAGGGUGACCGGCCACACUGGGACUGAGACACGGCCCAGACUCCUACGGGAGGCAGCAGUGGGGAAUAUUGCACAAUGGGCGAAAGCCUGAUGCAGCAACGCCGCGUGAGGGACGACGGCCUUCGGGUUGUAAACCUCUUUUAGCAGGGAAGAAGCGAAAGUGACGGUACCUGCAGAAAAAGCGCCGGCUAACUACGUG